Molecule: long non-coding RNA, 258 nt
Organism: Melanotaenia boesemani (Boeseman's rainbowfish)
Lineage: Eukaryota; Metazoa; Chordata; Actinopteri; Atheriniformes; Melanotaeniidae
Exons: 3
Source: RefSeq, a predicted model, not a curated record
UGAAGCAGUUGUGUCUUAAAUAAUUCAUUUUACUGGACGGCUGUUUAUAACUUUAACUAAAUUAACUAACCAGAGCAAAGAGCAAAGAAGAGGAGCAAGAACACAAUUAAAACCUCUUGUUUUUCUCCAAGUCAGUAAACCAUAAAUCCUCCAUGACAGAGGGUGCACGUCAUAUUUCUGGUAAACUGGUCCGGCAGCUGCUUCAUCAGGAUGGAAGCCGUGGAAGAUGUGGAGCUGACCUCAGGUGAUCUGAUGUGG